AAGAAAGGAAAGAGAAAGUCCAACCACUACGGCAAUACUUUUAAGCUCUACUAAAUGACGGUAUCCUUUCUGGCUUCGAAACUUUUGUACCUAAAAAUCGAGAGAGGCGCUGCAUUUUUUCAGUUGAAACUGUCAAAACUUGGAGAAGGGGAACCUCGGAGGCAGGCAGGAGAGGAGAAUCCUGAAAACUCGGUGGAGGUUGGGAAGAUGCUGUGCCUCGAGGAUUAGUUUAAACAGGGGGCUAUAAAAGAUGUAACAGAUGCAAACUGUAACACAAGGGCCAUUAACCCUUUCUCUGCCGGGCACACUCAGUCCCCACGCCCCGCACCUAUUGUCUCCUGUGCUAGAAGCUUUGCAGAAAACCUGGAAAACUCACAUCCCCACUCAAAAUGAGAAAAUUAGAAAAGGAGGAUGGAGGACGAGCACACCAAAAAGGGAUAAAAAGAGAGAAAAGGGGAGGAAAAAAAACCUACCUGCGAAGUCUUGUUUGUAGUUUUGGCCAGAAAUGGUGAGAAGAAAAAGCAUGAAGAAGCCGCGAAGUGUGGGGGAGAAAAAGGUGGAAGCGAAGAAACAGCUCCCGGAGCAAACUGUACAAAAACCUCGCCAAGAGUGUCGGGAGGCAGGACCGUUAUUCCUGCAGAGCAGGUUAGAACUGAUCUCUUUCGGCCACUCCAGGAAACACAAACCUGGGGACGGACUGACGUGUUACGCCUCUUCUAAUGACAUUUUUUUCUUUUUCUUUUCUGUAGGAGAGAGACGAGAGACCCUGAAACACGCGCCACCUAUCUUUGUGGGGAGGGAUAAUUGAAGCGCCCUGAGCGUGAGCAUCAUGUGAAAACGUGAUCGCCAAGUUUCUCUCUGGGAAAGGAUCUGGGAUAGAUUAUACCUUGAAGUCUCCGCAA
This 902-nucleotide antisense RNA is filed under the name Pongo abelii (Sumatran orangutan). The stretch from base 242 to 369 matches the Rfam family "ZEB2 antisense RNA 1 conserved region 1". Lineage: Eukaryota; Metazoa; Chordata; Mammalia; Primates; Hominidae. The record is from RNAcentral.